AUUUAUAAUCAAAAGAAAGUAAGGGAUCCUUGAGGGACCCUGUAUCUGGUGGUGGCUCGUGGGUCACAGAGGUUUGGGGUCUGCAGCUCUGAUGUGAGAGGGGACAGAGCCCCUUUUGUGGCCAGCUCUGAGGCCCCUCAGUAAUGAGGAUGGCUAAUGAGCACAGCACAGCAAGCAGCUGGGGGAUGCACAGAGCUGGCUCUGCUCCUGCUGGGAGCUGAUCCUGCUCCAAACCAACCUGGAGGAGGAGAGAAAUGGGAGAAUCCCAGAAAUGUAGAGUGGUUUGGGCUGGAAGGGACCUUAAUGCUCAUCUCCUUCCUCACCCUGCCAUGGGCAGGGACACCUUCCAUUAGCCCAGGCUGCUCCAAGCCCUGUCCAGCCUGGCCUUGGGCACUGCCAGGGAUCCAGGGACAGCCACAGCUGCUCUGGGCACCCUGUGCCAGGGCCUGCCCACCCUCACAGUUCCUUCCUAAGGAUGAAGGGAUGGAGAAGGGAUGGAGAUGGAUGAAGGGCAGAGAAGGUGACAGAGGGUGCCAGUGCUCUCAGCUGGACAUGCCCCAUCUGCCUGGCCCAGCGAGGGCUGCAUUGCCUUGUGAGUGCUUCCCAAAUCAGUGGUCCAAGGAAAACCACAGCCUUUGGGAUGGAAGCCUGCCUGAUGUGUACAGGCAGGGUGCUGACCCUGUUUUUUGGGAGAGGCACCUCCUUUUCCUCCCUCCUGCAGCCCUGCCCUGCUCCUCUGCCCUGUCUCCGUCACAACACAGUGCCUGCCUGCCUGGGAAGGGAAGGCAGAUAUCAGCAACCCCGAAAUAUCCCCAGGACAGGCUCCUCUGUGAUGGGAGACAGUUGCCAUGGAAACCUCCUCCAAAGAAAAAAAAAAGGAAAAAAACCCGAAAUUUAAAGCAGCCCUUGUAGCUCAGAGGAACUGUAGACCUUAUUAUGGGUUUUGGCAACCCCCCUUUUUCUUUUAUUUGUUCCAGCUAAAAGCUCCAGGAGACAAGGCAAUUAAUUUGGCAUCCCAAAGGGAGUGAGAGAGCAAGGCUACCGUGCUGGGAGCAGUUUCCCUGGCUGGCAGGCACCAGGAGCUUCCUGUGCCCCCAAACACCCUCCUG
This 1109-nucleotide long non-coding RNA is filed under the name Zonotrichia albicollis (white-throated sparrow). RNAcentral describes it as "lncRNA (ENSZALG00000008988.1)". Lineage: Eukaryota; Metazoa; Chordata; Aves; Passeriformes; Passerellidae. The record is from RNAcentral.